This 465-nucleotide ribosomal RNA is filed under the name Vreelandella stevensii. Its description in RNAcentral is "partial 16S ribosomal RNA". It matches the Rfam family "Bacterial small subunit ribosomal RNA", at positions 338 to 795 of the family's 1533-position model. The record is from RNAcentral. Lineage: Bacteria; Pseudomonadati; Pseudomonadota; Gammaproteobacteria; Oceanospirillales; Halomonadaceae.
CCUACGGGGGGCUGCAGUGGGGAAUAUUGGACAAUGGGCGAAAGCCUGAUCCAGCCAUGCCGCGUGUGUGAAGAAGGCCUUCGGGUUGUAAAGCACUUUCAGUGGGGAAGAAAGCCUUGGGGCUAAUACCCUCGAGGAAGGACAUCAGCCACAGAAGAAGCACCGGCUAACUCCGUGCCAGCAGCCGCGGUAAUACGGAGGGUGCGAGCGUUAAUCGGAAUUACUGGGCGUAAAGCGCGCGUAGGCGGUCUGAUAAGCCGGUUGUGAAAGCCCCGGGCUCAACCUGGGAACGGCAUCCGGAACUGUCAGGCUAGAGUGCAGGAGAGGAAGGUAGAAUUCCCGGUGUAGCGGUGAAAUGCGUAGAGAUCGGGAGGAAUACCAGUGGCGAAGGCGGCCUUCUGGACUGACACUGACGCUGAGGUGCGAAAGCGUGGGUAGCAAACAGGAUUAGAUACCCCAGUAGUC